UCCCAGGUGGCUUAGGGGUAAAGCGUCUGCCUGCCAAAGCAGGAGAUGUGGGUUUGAUCCCUGGGUUGGGAA
RNAcentral lists this transfer RNA (72 nucleotides) under Ovis aries (sheep). It matches the Rfam family "tRNA". From Rfam's summary of the family: Transfer RNA (tRNA) molecules are approximately 80 nucleotides in length. The record is from Rfam by way of RNAcentral. Lineage: Eukaryota; Metazoa; Chordata; Mammalia; Artiodactyla; Bovidae.